GUUCCAUCAAAAACUCCCCGUCUACCCAAUAAUAGGAAAGGCUUCAUUUUCAAGCCAACCUUCCUUAGCAUAUAUCUUUCUUCUUCAGUUAUACCCUCUUUGUCUAUUUCUUGUUGUUGAGGCAUCUUUGAAUUCCCCAGCUCCACUAGAAGUUUCUCUGCUUUGGCUUUCUUUUCUAGUGCCAUAGACAAUCUGAUGCUAGUCCUUUUAAUAGCUG
This 217-nucleotide unclassified non-coding RNA is filed under the name Hevea brasiliensis (rubber tree). Lineage: Eukaryota; Viridiplantae; Streptophyta; Magnoliopsida; Malpighiales; Euphorbiaceae. The record is from RNAcentral.